GGGAGAGAGAGGAGGGAGAGGAGCGGAGGCUGGGGGCUGGCGGACUCAUCGAGCUGAGCCACACAGCAGUUCAAAGGAGAUCUUCAAAAAUCUUGCUGAGCAAUGAGCUGAUGUUGGCCAUGAACGACUGAAUGAAGAUUCUUCGUGCCGAGAUGAUUAAUAAACUAAAAGUGUUGAACUUGCAGAUAGGCAGAUGAGAUCUGGCACUUCCUCAUGCACCAGAACCUUUACUUGCUGAUGUCAGCAAGAUCUAGAAUUUACUUUGAGUAUGUUGGGUUCUUAGGUCACUGAUUGCUUCUGAAAUUCAAAUCUGUUAAUUUAAGUGACUUGAUUUUCCAAAUAACCUGAAGAGUGAGCAUUUGCAUUGAUGCUUAAAGCAGUGAAGAAGGAAACACAACACCCAUGUGAAUCACUGCACCGUUUAAGAUCUCUGAUUUGUGUCACCUAUAACCAUCCUAUUCAGGUUAUGCCCUUAAGACAGGUCUUUAUCAAAUCCCUGUAUUGCUGCAAGCCAUUCAAAUAAAUACCAGUAGCUGGCAUCAUUUCAGCAAUAUGAAUUGCAUCAAGACUCAGGAUUUUCAUAUUUCAAAGACUGUUAUGAUUUUUAAAGUCACAAACAGGAAUGUGUUUUUGCACAGACCCAUGCUACAUUAUCCACUUAGAGUCAAAUUACAAAAAUAAGCUGUAAACACUUUUGAUGAAAGGAUUGGACACUUCAUUUACACCUUGAAAAUGGAGUUUUGUUUUAAUGCCCAAUUUUGCUUUGGUAUUUAACCUUUCCCCUCUGCUUUACGUAUUCUAUCGUUUCAGUCCAGCUUGCUAUUUAUUUAUCUUUCUGCAGAGAAAAAGGGGAAAAAGGAAAUCUUUUUUUUUUUUUUAAGGAUAAGUAAAUACAUGUACAAAAAAGUGUUCUGAGCUCUUAGUUAAAUGUAUGCUGCAAAUCAUGUUCUGUUUACCUUGGGCAUUUUUUAUUUGGGGUCUUAGGUGAUUUCCAUUGGAGAUGAAUGCACAUUAGCUAAAUGCAAAAUGAAAAACCUUUUACCUGUCAAGGCAUUAAUUAAAGUUUAAUUAGC
This 1073-nucleotide long non-coding RNA is filed under the name Gallus gallus (chicken). Lineage: Eukaryota; Metazoa; Chordata; Aves; Galliformes; Phasianidae. The record is from RNAcentral.